GUAGUCCACGCCGUAAACGAUGAUCACUAGGUGUCGGUUCCACAAUGGUGGGAUCGGUGUCGUAGCUAACGCGGUAAGUGAUCCGCCUGGGGAGUACGGUCGCAAGAUUAAAACUCAAAGAAAUUGACGGGGGUCCGCACAAGCGGUGGAACAUGUGGUUUAAUUCGACACUACGCGAGGAACCUUACCUAGGCUUGACAUGUAAUCGCUACUGGCGGAAACGUUGGGUUCUGCAGUUUACUGCAGACGGUUACACAGGUGCUGCAUGGCUGUCGUCAGCUCGUGUCGUGAGAUGUUGGGUUAAG
RNAcentral lists this ribosomal RNA (305 nucleotides) under uncultured bacterium. Its description in RNAcentral is "partial 16S ribosomal RNA". It matches the Rfam family "Bacterial small subunit ribosomal RNA", at positions 790 to 1084 of the family's 1533-position model. The record is from RNAcentral.